CCUACGGGUGGCAGCAGUGGGGAAUAUUGCUCAAUGGGCGAAAGCCUGAAGCAGCGACGCCGCGUGAGGGAUGAAGGUCCUCGGAUCGUUAACCUCUUUUAGUAUGGAAGAACGGUCACUGUGCUAUUCAGCAGUGAAUUGACGGUACCUGCAAAGUAAGCACAGGCUAACUCCGUCCCAGGGGCCGCGGUAAUACGGAGGGUUCUAGCGUUAAUCGGUAUUACUGGGCUUAAAGCGCUCGUGUGUGGUAUGUAAAGUCAAGGGUGAAAGCCGCGGGCUAAACGUGGGAACUGCCUUUGAUACUGGAAGACUGGAGUGAGUGAGAGGAGAGUGGAAUUCGCGGUGUAGGAGUGAAAUGCGUAGAUAUCAGGAGGAACACCGGUGGCGAAGGCGACUAUCUGGAACAUAACUGACGCUGAGGAGCGAAAGCGUGGGUAGCAAACAGGAUUAGAUACCCGGGUAGUC
RNAcentral lists this ribosomal RNA (465 nucleotides) under uncultured bacterium. RNAcentral's name for it is "partial 16S ribosomal RNA". It matches the Rfam family "Bacterial small subunit ribosomal RNA", at positions 338 to 795 of the family's 1533-position model. The record is from RNAcentral.